Molecule: transfer RNA, 73 nt
Filed under: Acidimicrobiales bacterium
Lineage: Bacteria; Bacillati; Actinomycetota; Acidimicrobiia; Acidimicrobiales
Description: tRNA-Val
Rfam family: tRNA
About the family: Transfer RNA (tRNA) molecules are approximately 80 nucleotides in length.
Source: RNAcentral
GGGCCGUUGGCGCAGUUGGUAGCGCGCUUGCAUGACGCGCAAGAGGUCAGAGGUUCGAAUCCUCUACGGCCCA